This 394-nucleotide ribosomal RNA is filed under the name uncultured bacterium. RNAcentral's name for it is "partial 16S ribosomal RNA". It matches the Rfam family "Bacterial small subunit ribosomal RNA", at positions 523 to 918 of the family's 1533-position model. The record is from RNAcentral.
AUACGUAGGGAGCGAGCGUUGUCCGGAAUUACUGGGCGUAAAGGGCGCGUAGGCGGCGCUUCAAGUCGUCUGUCAAAUGGGAGGGCUUAACCCUUUUUCGCAGACGAAACUGGAGAGCUUGAGAAGCAGAGAGGCAAACAGAAUUCCUGGUGUAGCGGUGAAAUGCGUGGAUAUCAGGAAGAAUACCAGUGGCGAAGGCGGUUUGCUGGCUGCAUACUGACGCUGAAGCGCGAAAGCCAGGGGAGCAAACGGGAUUAGAUACCCCGGUAGUCCUGGCAGUAAACGAUGUAUGCUGGGUGUGAGACUAGCGAUAGUUUCGUGCCGAAGUUAACGCGAUAAGCAUACCGCCUGGGGAGUACGGUCGCAAGAUUGAAACUCAAAGGAAUUGACGGGG